This 64-nucleotide transfer RNA is filed under the name Aquatica leii. Its description in RNAcentral is "tRNA-Tyr". The record is from RNAcentral. RNAcentral also lists the same sequence under 1 other name. Lineage: Eukaryota; Metazoa; Arthropoda; Insecta; Coleoptera; Lampyridae.
AGUAAAAUGACCGAGAGUUAGGUGAUAAAUUGUAAAUUUAUUUACGGAGUAAAUCCUUUUACUA